Molecule: signal recognition particle RNA, 291 nt
Filed under: Cebus imitator (Panamanian white-faced capuchin)
Lineage: Eukaryota; Metazoa; Chordata; Mammalia; Primates; Cebidae
Description: Metazoan signal recognition particle RNA (ENSCCAG00000004191.1)
Rfam family: Metazoan signal recognition particle RNA
About the family: The signal recognition particle (SRP) is a universally conserved ribonucleoprotein. It is involved in the co-translational targeting of proteins to membranes.
Source: RNAcentral
GCUGGGCAUGGUGGCACGCACCUGUAGUCCCAGCUACUCGGGAGGCUGAGGCUGGAGGAUGGCUUGAGUCCAGGAGUUCACUACGCCGAUCGCACUAAGUGUUUGCACUAAGUUUGGCAUCAAUAUGGUGACCUCCUGGGAGCAGGAGACCACCAGGUUGCCUAAGGAGGGGUGAACCAGCCCAGGUCAGAAACGGAGCAGGUCAAAACUCCCAUGCUGAUCAGUAGUGGGAUCAUGCCUGUGAAUAGCCACUGCACUCUAGCCUGGGCAACAUAGUGAGACCCCAUCUCU